GUCUGGAAAGGCCCGCCAUAGGAGGUAACAGCCCUGUAGUCAAAACUUCGUUCUCUCCUGAGUGGAUCCUGAGUACGGCGGAACACGUGAAAUUCCGUCGGAAUCCGGGAGGACCAUCUCCCAAGGCUAAAUACUCCCUAGUGACCGAUAGUGAACCAGUACCGUGAGGGAAAGGUGAAAAGCACCCCGGAAGGGGAGUGAAAGAGAUCCUGAAACCGUGUGCCUACAAGUAGUCAGAGCCCGUUAACGGGUGAUGGCGUGCCUUUUGUAGAAUGAACCGGCGAGUUACGAUCUCGUGCAAGGUUAAGCAGAAGAUGCGGAGCCGCAGCGAAAGCGAGUCUGAAUAGGGCGCAUGAGUACGUGGUCGUAGACCCGAAACCAGGUGAUCUACCCAUGUCCAGGGUGAAGUUCAGGUAACACUGAAUGGAGGCCCGAACCCACGCACGUUGAAAAGUGCGGGGAUGAGGUGUGGGUAGGGGUGAAAUGCCAAUCGAACCUGGAGAUAGCUGGUUCUCUCCGAAAUAGCUUUAGGGCUAGCGUGUAGUGUUAAAUAAUGGUGGUAAAGCACUGAAUAUGGAAUGGCCUCGCCUAGAGGUACUGACUAUAAUCAAACUCUGAAUACCAUUAUGA
Molecule: ribosomal RNA, 630 nt
Filed under: Xanthomonas citri pv. citri
Lineage: Bacteria; Pseudomonadati; Pseudomonadota; Gammaproteobacteria; Lysobacterales; Lysobacteraceae
Description: partial 23S ribosomal RNA
Rfam family: Bacterial large subunit ribosomal RNA
Source: RNAcentral